CUUUUCUAUGAUCCGAAUCAUGUUGUACAUGAGCAGGCUCCUUCACUUAGAAGAUUUAAUAGUAUGUAAAUGUAUUCAUUUCCUCUGCAUUGACACGAUCAAUACUACUAUCGGAGUGAAACAAGGGAUCUAAAGAAGAAGAGAGGCUAGACUAUAUUAGUAACAAGCAAACCUUGUAUGUGUAUCUCCAAGCAUUUUGGAGAUAAAUACCAAUUAGAAGGUCUGAGACGACCCAGAAAGCACUUGAUCAUAUAAUG
This 257-nucleotide long non-coding RNA is filed under the name Solanum lycopersicum (tomato). Its description in RNAcentral is "partial TCONS_00121916". The record is from RNAcentral. Lineage: Eukaryota; Viridiplantae; Streptophyta; Magnoliopsida; Solanales; Solanaceae.